CAGAGGUCCCAAGCGUUGUUCGGAUUCACUGGGCGUAAAGGGUGCGUAGGUGGUGAGGUAAGUCGGAUGUGAAAUCUCCGAGCUCAACUCGGAAAUGGCAUUGGAAACUACCUUGCUUGAGGGUUGAGGGGGGACUGGAAUACUUGGUGUAGCAGUGAAAUGCGUAGAUAUCAAGUGGAACACCAGUGGCGAAGGCGAGUCCCUGGACAACUCCUGACACUGAGGCACGAAAGCUAGGGGAGCAAACAGGAUUAGAUACCCUGGUAGUCCUAGCCGUAAACGGUGCAUAUUUGCUGUAAAAGGAAUCGACCCCUUUUGUGGCGUAGCUAACGCGAUAAAUAUGCCGCCUGGGAAGUACGGUCGCAAGAUUA
This 371-nucleotide ribosomal RNA is filed under the name uncultured organism. RNAcentral's name for it is "bacterial SSU rRNA". It matches the Rfam family "Bacterial small subunit ribosomal RNA", at positions 526 to 896 of the family's 1533-position model. The record is from RNAcentral.